This is a long non-coding RNA of Cannabis sativa, 1695 nucleotides long. RefSeq lists it as uncharacterized. Lineage: Eukaryota; Viridiplantae; Streptophyta; Magnoliopsida; Rosales; Cannabaceae. The transcript is spliced from 2 exons. The record is from RefSeq and is a predicted model, not a curated record.
AGCACUUGAAUACCAACCAUCCCAUUAUUGUCUCACAUAAAGACAAAUGGUCUGGAACAGAAAAACAUGGUGACAAAACUAUUGGAAUAAAGUAUUAAAAAGGGUUGAAAAACAGACCAAAAUCAAUACUAUUGUAAUAUUGUUAUUAGUAUACUUAUUUCUAUAAGAGGAUCUCUAAUAGGGCAACAUUUAUAGUUGUCAAAAUACACACAUCAUUUAAAAAUAUUAUUUGUUUUAUAUUUCCUCUCAUCCACUUUAAAUUUGUUACAUUUUCUUAAAAAAAUUACUCCAAUUGUUGACAACUCUAAAAGUGUCUACUAUAGUAUCACAUCACAUUAAAUUAAUAAUUUUGUAGGUAAAAAAUAACUUUUUUCUUAUAAAAAAAUGACAUGUGGUCAUUCUCUAAAUUGAGCAACACUUAAUAUAAAAUUUGUGAUACGACCACUUUAAUGAGUAACUCUCUUGGAGAUGCUCUAAGAUACUCAUGGUGAUGAAGUGUCACCCUAUAAUUGCUUAGGAUUUUCUAUAAUAUAUAUUAAAGUGAAAUAAGUGAGAUCUAAUAUUAAAUUGUACUAAUAGCAAUAUUACAUGUGCUAAACACUAUAAAUGGUCUUUAACAUUUCUCUUAAAGAUUAUAGAAAAUCCCUUACUAAUUAUAAAGUAUUACCUCAUAAUAAUGCUAGAGAUCUUAGUGUCCCAUAAUAAUACUCUUAUCUAAAACAAUAAUGGCACGUUUACUAUACAGUAAUCAGAAUCGGAAUAAAUUAAUGGAGAAAUGUAACGGAAUAAAUGAAAAAUAAUGGGAAUCAAUAUUUGUAAUAUGUUGUUUACUAAAUUUUUUUUAAAAUGGAAUAGUUGUGUUUAUCUUGUUUACUUUAUUAGGAAACGUAAUCGAAAUGCUUAAAUUGACUAAAUUGCCCUUUUGAGUUAAACUAUAUUAUAUGGUAGUUAUUUUGCAAGACAUAUUUUAAAGGACAAAAUUGUCAUUAUAUAUUUAAUAUUAUAAAAUAAAAUAAAAAUAAUAAAAAUUCAUUACCCUUAAUGGCAUUCCUUACAAAAUUGGUGGGAGAAGUUCUCCCAUUCUUUUUUCCCUUAUUUAAUCAACUUCUCCAUUUCCUAAUUUUAAUAAUGCAAGUAAACAAAUGUAAGGGAAUGAUUACCUUACUAUUGAUUCCCAUUACUUAUUAGUAAACAUGCUAUAAGAGUAUUCAUGACAUUCUAUAUGUAUAAAUACAUUUUUUUUUAAUUAGAGAAAGUGGGGUUCGAAUUUGAAACCUCUUUUUUGUGAGAAGUGUAGAAUUACUAAAGGGAAAUUUGAUUUUCUAUACUUAGAAAAUCAAAAAAUUUGAUUUCUAAACCAAUAAUUUAAACCCUAAAAAAACUAUACCUUUUUUUUCAAAACCCCAAAAAUACCCCCAAACUAAAACUAUCUCUCUUUCUCUCUCUAUCUAGCCGGUCCCAAGAAUCCCACACCCCAGGUCCGACCAUCGGACCUCUCUCUUCCCCUCUCUCUCAAAUCGCAGAAAAAAAAAAAAAAAAUUAAAAGCGGUCGGACCUUCGGGUCCGAUGGGUCCGACCAUCGGACCCAUCGGACCCGAAGGUCCGACCAUCGGACCUCUUUCUUCCUCUCUCUCCAAAAUCGCAGAAAAAAAAAAAAAAAAUUAAAAGACGGUCGGACCUCUGUCUUCUUCCCUC